This 367-nucleotide unclassified non-coding RNA is filed under the name Hevea brasiliensis (rubber tree). The record is from RNAcentral. Lineage: Eukaryota; Viridiplantae; Streptophyta; Magnoliopsida; Malpighiales; Euphorbiaceae.
ACCAACCAACAACCAUUUCUUUCACCAUUCAGUUCCUAAUAUCCCCUCCAGUGCUCAACAUUUGCAAGGACUAAACAAUAGCUGCCAUAACAACAAUCUAACUUCUCUUGCCACAAAUCCGCAAGGUGAUAAUGGAACAAGUAAUAUUGGUGGAAUGCCCUCUAUGCAGCAGUUAACAGCUACUGGGCAAGCUGUGGCUGAUACGGCUCCCAUGCAACAUGUACAAAAGCAAACUGUUCCUAGGGUCGGGCCAGCGACUUUGCCCAGUGGCAACAAAGUUCUUUCUCAUCCAGUUGCAAAGGAUAAUAAAAAGAAAUGACUCAAAUGCUUCUCCUAUUACUGCUGGUUGAAGUUAGGGUUUGGAAAA